RNAcentral lists this transfer RNA (72 nucleotides) under Bos taurus (domestic cattle). It matches the Rfam family "tRNA". From Rfam's summary of the family: Transfer RNA (tRNA) molecules are approximately 80 nucleotides in length. Their secondary structure includes four short double-helical elements and three loops (D, anti-codon, and T loops). RNAcentral also lists the same sequence under 2 other names. Lineage: Eukaryota; Metazoa; Chordata; Mammalia; Artiodactyla; Bovidae. The record is from Rfam by way of RNAcentral.
UCCCUGGUGGCUCAGAUGGUAAAGAAUCUGCCUGCAAUGCAGGAGACCCGGGUUCAACCCCUGGGUUGGGAG